RNAcentral lists this ribosomal RNA (429 nucleotides) under Gemmatimonadota bacterium. Its description in RNAcentral is "Gemmatimonadetes bacterium partial 16S ribosomal RNA". It matches the Rfam family "Bacterial small subunit ribosomal RNA", at positions 355 to 776 of the family's 1533-position model. Lineage: Bacteria; Pseudomonadati; Gemmatimonadota. The record is from RNAcentral.
UAGGGAAUCUUCGGCAAUGGACGAAAGUCUGACCGAGCAACGCCGCGUGAGUGAAGAAGGUUUUCGGAUCGUAAAACUCUGUUGUUAGAGAAGAACAAGGACGUUAGUAACUGAACGUCCCCUGACGGUAUCUAACCAGAAAGCCACGGCUAACUACGUGCUAGCAGCCGCGGUAAUACGUAGGUGGCAAGCGUUGUCCGGAUUUAUUGGGCGUAAAGCGAGCGCAGGCGGUUUCUUAAGUCUGAUGUGAAAGCCCCCGGCUCAACCGGGGAGGGUCAUUGGAAACUGGGAGACUUGAGUGCAGAAGAGGAGAGUGGAAUUCCAUGUGUAGCGGUGAAAUGCGUAGAUAUAGGGAGGAACACCAGUGGCGAAGGCGGCUCUCUGGUCUGUAACUGACGCUGGGGCUCGAAAGCGUGGGGAGCAAACAGG